AAAAUCUCCAACCAAGUAUUUCAUAUCCAGCUAAACUAAGCUUCCUAAGUGAAGGAGAAAUGAGAUCAUUUACAGACAAGCAAAUUCUGAGGUGAUGGCAUCAGCUGAGAAGGGAAGGAAGCCCAUGUGAGGACACUGAAGAAGGAGUGAGCAGACAAUAAGAAGCCCACAGAAGACAGAGAAGGAAAAACUAGAGGGAGAAGCCAAGUUUCUCCACAGACACUACCCAAAGCAGUCCUUCACUACAGUGGCAGACAGACCUGAAAAUUUUCAUCUGAAGCAGCAGAGUGAACUGCAGAGUCAGGUCACCAACCAGUGUGGAGGCUAACAGCAGGCCUCUUUGGGGAUUCCAGGUGGAAGUGUUGGACAUCUGUAGUAUUCCUGGUCUCGAAUCAUCCUGAUAUUCUUCAUUUUGUUAUUCACAUUGGACUAGGCAGGAACAAAGAUCACCACAACUGGCUCCCCUUCAACUGUGUUAGAUGGCAGCUUGCCUUCAGUACGGUGAAACACAUUAGUUAAGACUGGGAUUGUGCAUGG
RNAcentral lists this long non-coding RNA (537 nucleotides) under Pongo abelii (Sumatran orangutan). Its description in RNAcentral is "lincRNA". Lineage: Eukaryota; Metazoa; Chordata; Mammalia; Primates; Hominidae. The record is from RNAcentral.